GAUGAACGCUGGCGGCGUGCCUAAUACAUACAAGUCGAGCGAACGGACGAGAAGCUUGCUUCUCUGAUGUUAGCGGCGGACGGGUGAGUAACACGUGGAUAACCUACCUAUAAGACUGGGAUAACUUCGGGAAACCGGAGCUAAUACCGGAUGAUAUUUUGAACCGCAUGGUUCAAAAGUGAAAGACGGUCUUGCUGUCACUUAUAGAUGGAUCCGCGCUGCAUUAGCUGGUUGGUAAGGUAACGGCUUACCAAGGCAACGAUGCAUAGCCGACCUGAGAGGGUGAUCGGCCACACUGGAACUGAGACACGGUCCAGACUCCUACGGGAGGCAGCAGUAGGGAAUCUUCCGCAAUGGGCGAAAGCCUGACGGAGCAACGCCGCGUGAGUGAUGAAGGUCUUCGGAUCGUAAAACUCUGUUAUUAGGGAAGAACAUAUGUGUAAGUAACUGUGCACAUCUUGACGGUACCUAAUCAGAAAGCCACGGCUAACUACGUG
Molecule: ribosomal RNA, 497 nt
Filed under: uncultured bacterium
Lineage: Bacteria
Description: partial 16S ribosomal RNA
Rfam family: Bacterial small subunit ribosomal RNA
Source: RNAcentral